This is a long non-coding RNA of Lolium rigidum, 279 nucleotides long. RefSeq lists it as uncharacterized. NCBI's taxonomy places the organism in Eukaryota, Viridiplantae, Streptophyta, Magnoliopsida, Poales, Poaceae. The record is from RefSeq and is a predicted model, not a curated record. The transcript is spliced from 3 exons.
CACGAACGGGCAGCGAGUACUCAGACAAAUUCCCAAAGUGUAACUGAGUUUGUAUAAGUUGAAGCAUGGAGGGCAACCGCACUGACCUGCAGCCACCACCAGGCUACCCAACGAUUGUGGACUCAGUGCCAAGCUGCGACGACUCGCCACGCCGAGGACGAACAAGACCACGCGGCCGGAAAACUAGUUUUCUCGAUGCAUGUGUUGCCGCACUGUGCUGCUGCUGGCUGUGCGACCUGUGCUGCGUUUAAUUGGAUCGGAGGGCAACGAAACAAGCUC